Molecule: ribosomal RNA, 497 nt
Filed under: uncultured bacterium
Lineage: Bacteria
Description: partial 16S ribosomal RNA
Rfam family: Bacterial small subunit ribosomal RNA
Source: RNAcentral
GAUGAACGCUGGCGGCGUGCCUAAUACAUGCAAGUCGAGCGAACAGACGAGGAGCUUGCUCCUCUGACGUUAGCGGCGGACGGGUGAGUAACACGUGGAUAACCUACCUAUAAGACUGGGAUAACUUCGGGAAACCGGAGCUAAUACCGGAUAAUAUAUUGAACCGCAUGGUUCAAUAGUUAAAGACGGUUUUGCUGUCACUUAUAGAUGGAUCCGCGCCGCAUUAGCUAGUUGGUAAGGUAACGGCUUACCAAGGCAACGAUGCGUAGCCGACCUGAGAGGGUGAUCGGCCACACUGGAACUGAGACACGGUACCGACUCCUACGGGAGGCAGCAGUAGGGAAUCUUCCGCAAUGGGCGAAAGCCUGACGGAGCAACGCCGAGUGAGUGAUGAAGGUCUUCGGAUCGUAAAACUCUGUUAUUAGGGAAGAAGAAAUGUGUAAGUAACUAUGAACGUCUUGACGGUACCUAAUCAGAAAGCCACGGGUAACUACGUG